Molecule: long non-coding RNA, 902 nt
Filed under: Homo sapiens (human)
Lineage: Eukaryota; Metazoa; Chordata; Mammalia; Primates; Hominidae
Description: HSALNT0328898
Source: RNAcentral
UGUCGCGGGUUUAUAUACCCUUUGGGCACUUAACCGACUGUGCCAGCCCAGUCCCAUACCUGUCAAGAAAAUUCAUUGUCUUACAUCGUCCUUAAAUUUUAUUCGUGUUAUAGUCAAUAUAUACAUAUUUUUACCUAAUAUACAUCCGCUUUCUAGGUUUCUACUUAGCGCUGCUGAGACUGAGUCUAAAUGAAAAAACAUUAUCAAUGGAUUCUAACAAUAAAUCAUAUUUUAGAUUUUUAAAGAAAAAAACCCAGCUUGCUCCACAGAACCAGAUAUCAGAGGCAGGAAUGCCACAGUUACAUUCCUAGGACUUGGUCAAUGAGAAGACAGAUUCCAAAAAUACAGUGCUGGGAAGUUGGAAAAAAGCCACAGAUGACGCUUCCAGUCAAGACAACCUGUGGCAACUGAGCUGAUUUCUGUAGAAGGCUAUAAUGACCCAAUGGGCCACCAGUUUGAUAUUUGAUUCUGAACAAUUUAUUCACCAAGAAUGGCUGCCUGAAUGAGAGGCACAAAACCAUUAUCCUUUUGGCUGCAAUGGAAUGAGAGUCCUGUUGAGAAAAUGGAAGUGGUACCCAGAAUCAGUCAAACUCCAAAUGGUGCUGCAAACUGAACCACACAUGGACACGCCGUUCUGAGGACCUUUAGAUCAACCCCAGGAGAAGUCUUAGAUGCUGUUCCCCAUUCAAUGCCCCUUUUCAGCAGGAAGUAGCCAGAUAGAGUUGUCACCCAGAACCCCCUAACAGCCGUUGGGGUGAUAUCUCCACAGGGAGAAAUGAGUUCUGGAGGCUGGGAAUUCCAAGAUCAAGGCACCAGCAGACCCAGUGUUUGGAGGGCUCACUUCUUCAUUGUCUUUUCAUCAUAGCCUCACGUGGAAGAAAAGGUAAGGGAUUUCUCUGGGA